CGCUGGCGGCGUGCCUAAUACAUGCAAGUCGAACGGUCUUUCUAUGGAAGCUUGCUUCCACUGAGAAGAUAGUGGCGAACGGGUGAGUAACACGUGGGUAACCUGCCCAUAAGAGGGGGAUAACAUCCGGAAACGGGUGCUAAUACCGCAUAGUUUUCUUGAUCGCAUGAUUGAGAAAGGAAAGACGGCCUUUGUGCUGUCGCUUAUGGAUGGACCCGCGGCGUAUUAGUUAGUUGGUGAGGUAACGGCUCACCAAGACGAUGAUACGUAGCCGACCUGAGAGGGUGAUCGGCCACAUUGGGACUGAGACACGGCCCAAACUCCUACGGGAGGCAGCAGUAGGGAAUCUUCCGCAAUGGACGAAAGUCUGACGGAGCAACGCCGCGUGAGUGAAGAAGGUUUUCGGAAUCGUAAAACUCUGUUGUCAGAGAAGAACAAGUUGGAGAGUAACUGCUCCAGCCUUGACGGCAUCUGACCAGAAAGCCACGGCUAACUACGUGCCAGCAGCAGC
RNAcentral lists this ribosomal RNA (511 nucleotides) under uncultured bacterium. RNAcentral's name for it is "bacterial SSU rRNA". It matches the Rfam family "Bacterial small subunit ribosomal RNA", at positions 34 to 518 of the family's 1533-position model. The record is from RNAcentral.